GACGAACGCUGGCGGCGUGCUUAACACAUGCAAGUCGAACGGGGAAAGGAGAGCUUGCUCUUCUGGCUCAGUGGCGAACGGGUGAGUAACACGUGAGUAACCUGCCCCAGACUCUGGAAUAAGCACUGGAAGCGGCGUCUAAUACCGGAUACGUAACAGAGCUGCAUGGCUACUGUCUGGAAAGUUUUUCGGUAUGGGAUGGGCUCGCGGCCUAUCAGCUUGUUGGUGAGGAAACGGAUCACCAAGGCAACGACCGGUAGCGGGCCUGAGGGGGCGACAGGCCACACUGGGACUGAGACACGGCCCAGACUCCUACGGGAGGCAGCAGUGGGGAAUAUUGCACUAUGGGCGAAAGCCUGAUGCAGCGACGCCGCGUGAGGGAUGACGGCCUUCGGGUUGUAAACCUCUUUCAGCAGGGAAGAAGCGAAAGUGACGGUACCUGCAGAAGAAGCACCGGCUAACUACGUG
This 468-nucleotide ribosomal RNA is filed under the name uncultured bacterium. RNAcentral's name for it is "partial 16S ribosomal RNA". It matches the Rfam family "Bacterial small subunit ribosomal RNA", at positions 28 to 507 of the family's 1533-position model. The record is from RNAcentral.